UUGAGCUUGAUCAUGGCUCAGAUUGAACGCUGGCGGCAGGCCUAACACAUGCAAGUCGAGCGGAAACGAUGGAAGCUUGCUUCCAGGCGUCGAGCGGCGGACGGGUGAGUAAUGCAUGGGAAUCUGCCCGAUAGUGGGGGAUAACCUGGGGAAACCCAGGCUAAUACCGCAUACGUCCUACGGGAGAAAGCAGGGGAUCUUCGGACCUUGCGCUAUCGGAUGAGCCCAUGUCGGAUUAGCUUGUUGGUGAGGUAAUGGCUCACCAAGGCGACGAUCCGUAGCUGGUCUGAGAGGAUGAUCAGCCACAUCGGGACUGAGACACGGCCCGAACUCCUACGGGAGGCAGCAGUGGGGAAUAUUGGACAAUGGGCGAAAGCCUGAUCCAGCCAUGCCGCGUGUGUGAAGAAGGCCCUCGGGUUGUAAAGCACUUUCAGUGGGGAAGA
This 443-nucleotide ribosomal RNA is filed under the name Halomonas sp. M17-C27. RNAcentral describes it as "bacterial SSU rRNA". It matches the Rfam family "Bacterial small subunit ribosomal RNA", at positions 1 to 448 of the family's 1533-position model. Lineage: Bacteria; Pseudomonadati; Pseudomonadota; Gammaproteobacteria; Oceanospirillales; Halomonadaceae. The record is from RNAcentral.